RNAcentral lists this ribosomal RNA (889 nucleotides) under uncultured bacterium. RNAcentral's name for it is "bacterial SSU rRNA". It matches the Rfam family "Bacterial small subunit ribosomal RNA", at positions 51 to 951 of the family's 1533-position model. The record is from RNAcentral.
ACACAUGCAAGUCGAACGGAGUUAGAGAGAGCUUGCUUUUUCAAACUUAGUGGCGAACGGGUGAGUAACGCGUGAGUAACCUGCCCUGGAGUGGGGGACAACAGUUGGAAACGACUGCUAAUACCGCAUAAGCCCACGGCCCGGCAUCGGGUUGAGGGAAAAGGAUUUAUUCGCUUCAGGAUGGACUCGCGUCCAAUUAGCUAGUUGGUGAGGUAACGGCCCACCAAGGCGACGAUUGGUAGCCGGACUGAGAGGUUGAACGGCCACAUUGGGACUGAGACACGGCCCAGACUCCUACGGGAGGCAGCAGUGGGGGAUAUUGCACAAUGGGGGAAACCCUGAUGCAGCGACGCCGCGUGGAGGAAGAAGGUUUUCGGAUUGCAAACUCCUGUCGUUAGGGACGAUAAUGACGGUACCUAACAAGAAAGCACCGGCUAACUACGUGCCAGCAGCCGCGGUAAAACGUAGGGUGCAAGCGUUGUCCGGAAUUACUGGGUGUAAAGGGAGCGCAGGCGGACCGGCAAGUUGGAAGUGAAAUCUAUGGGCUCAACCCAUAAAUUGCUUUCAAAACUGCUGGCCUUGAGUAGUGCAGAGGUAGGUGGAAUUCCCGGUGUAGCGGUGGAAUGCGUAGAUAUCGGGAGGAACACCAGUGGCGAAGGCGACCUACUGGGCACCAACUGACGCUGAGGCUCGAAAGCAUGGGUAGCAAACAGGAUUAGAUACCCUGGUAGUCCAUGCCGUAAACGAUGAUUACUAGGUGUUGGAGGAUUGACCCCUUCAGUGCCGCAGUUAACACAAUAAGUAAUCCACCUGGGGAGUACGACCGCAAGGUUGAAACUCAAAGGAAUUGACGGGGGCCCGCACAAGCAGUGGAGUAUGUGGUUUAAUU